This 794-nucleotide ribosomal RNA is filed under the name uncultured archaeon. RNAcentral describes it as "bacterial SSU rRNA". It matches the Rfam family "Archaeal small subunit ribosomal RNA", at positions 85 to 879 of the family's 1478-position model. The record is from RNAcentral.
ACGGCUCAGUAACACGUGGACAACCUACCCUUAGGACUGGGAUAAACCUGGGAAACUGGGUAUAAUACCGGAUAGGGCUCGGAUGCUGGAAUGCAUCGAGUCCCAAAGCUCCGGCGCCUAAGGAUGGGUCUGCGGCCCAUCAGGGUAGUAGUGGGUGUAAUGUACCUACUAGCCUACGACGGGUACGGGUCGUGAGAGCGAGAGCCCGGAGAUGGAUUCUGAGACACGAAUCCAGGCCCUACGGGGUGCAGCAGGCGCGAAAACUUUACAAUGCUGGAAACAGCGAUAGGGGGACUUUGAGUGCCAGGAUACAAUCUUGGCUGUCGUCGUGCCUAAAAAGCACGGCAUAGCAAGGGCCGGGCAAGACCGGUGCCAGCCGCCGCGGUAACACCGGCGGCUCGAGUGGUAACCGCUAUUAUUGGGUCUAAAGGGUCUGUAGCCGGCUGAAAAAGUCUCUUGGGAAAUCCGAUAGCUUAACUAUCGGGCUUUCAGGAGAUACUCUUCGGCUCGAGACCGGGAGAGGUGAGAGGUACUUCAUGGGUAGGGGUGAAAUCUUGUAAUCCUUGAAGGACCACCAGUGGCGAAGGCGUCUCACCAGAACGGAUCUGACGGCAAGGGACGAAAGCUAGGGGCACGAACCGGAUUAGAUACCCGGGUAGUCCUAGCCGUAAACGAUACUCGCUAGGUGUCGGCCACGGUGCGACCGUGGUCGGUGCCGUAGGGAAGCCGUGAAGCGAGCCACCUGGGAAGUACGGCCGCAAGGCUGAAACUUAAAGGAAUUGGCGGGGGAGCAC